This 1238-nucleotide long non-coding RNA is filed under the name Homo sapiens (human). Its description in RNAcentral is "HSALNT0215678". Lineage: Eukaryota; Metazoa; Chordata; Mammalia; Primates; Hominidae. The record is from RNAcentral.
ACCGUGGACAACCCCUACUUUACAUCCCACCAUGACAGUCAGUCCCUCCUCAUGCAGCCUGAAGGGGCCUGCUACAAUGCAACCCACAAACAGCCACCAUUAUCCCUCCCCUGCAUUUCCUUCCCACACUUUCGUGUGAUUCAUUGCAUCUUCAUGAGACCACAAGUAGGUAACUAACCCCGUAAUGUGUCCAUCAUGAACACCUCUCCAAUACCAUGUAUGUUAUUCUGACAACAGUAUUUUUGAUAAAUGCCUGAUGUUCCAUUGCAUUGACAUCCUAUCCCUUGCUUAUCUAAUCCCCUGUUACUGGGCAUUUUCUUUAUUUCCAGUUUUUGCUAUUGUAAAUAUAGAUACAGUGAACAUCUUUGGGGCUAAAUCUUUGGCUGUAUUAGAGCUUCCUUAAUUAUUUUAGAGAUUAAUAAAAAAAAAAAAAGAUGGCUCGUGAUGUGCUUAGUGUUGGUUAUGCAGAGAGCAAAGCUUUUCCACAUCAUCCAGGGGUGAUUGCAUACAGACCUCCAUGGGCGUCAGAAAAUCACCAUUAGCCAAGCAAAUGGCUCCAGGGGAUGGAAGAUCCUGGCGAGACAUCUGUGAGAGUCCAUCCAGCACACAUUCAUUUGAAUAUUUUCAGUUGCGAAGACAACAAGACUAACUUCCUGAAAAUUUGGAAAAGACUCCAAGCUCCUUGAGGACAGGGACUGCGCUGGUCUUGUGGACUGCUUGGACACCAGCCUGCAACAUGGUGACUCACGCAAAGUUGCACUUCAGGACUGCCAGCGGCCGAGACAUCCGACAGACCAGGAGUCUUCUCAGCCUCCUGCCAGCACGAGCCAUGUUCCUUCCAGACCCACUUCAAAGCCCAGACACUUCGGCCAAGUUGCUGGACACCACAGGGCUUCAGGGUCCUCAUCCACACAGGGAAAACAAUACCUGCCUUCCUGGGUCGUUCGCUGUAGGAUGAGGGCUCGUCGUGGUAAAAUACCCCAAAUAGGGACCCACAUACAGUAGGCACUGGGUACACGGGAGGUGACAGAGACUGGAACUUGGGACUUUCUCUGCGUUUUCUCAUGGUCAGCGUUCCUGAAGUCCCACCAAGACAAGGACUAGACCUGGGAGGACACCGCAACUCCACAGUCCACAUGCCGCCCUCCACACCGGGCCCCCUCCAGAGAGCAGGGCUCCACUCAGCACUCUCAACAAAAGGCCUCUCUUCCUCAGCAGAGAACACACCCAGCACUGCC